Molecule: long non-coding RNA, 117 nt
Organism: Melitaea cinxia (Glanville fritillary)
Lineage: Eukaryota; Metazoa; Arthropoda; Insecta; Lepidoptera; Nymphalidae
Exons: 3
Source: RefSeq, a predicted model, not a curated record
UUGAUGAAUAUAACAUUGUUUGUGAUAGAUAUGGUUGGAUACAACAAGUUAGAAACUAGAAGGGAGCUGGCUCUGGAAACUUAUACUUUAAAAGUAUUCCGCGAUGUUGUCAAUUAU